RNAcentral lists this long non-coding RNA (3228 nucleotides) under Canis lupus familiaris (dog). RNAcentral's name for it is "lncRNA (ENSCAFG00845016617.1)". Lineage: Eukaryota; Metazoa; Chordata; Mammalia; Carnivora; Canidae. The record is from RNAcentral.
UUUUUUUGUGUUUUAUUUCUUGAGCUGAGUGGUGGAUACAGGGAUAUAUUUUAUAUUUUUCCCUGUCUCUUUUUUGAAUGUCUUACAUAUUGUAUACAUUUAAGAAAUAAAAUUACAUUACGAAAAGAAGACAUCAAAUUAGGACAGUCGGGAUACUUUUGAAAUUCAAUCUGAUUCAUGAAUUUGAGGGGGAACUGAAGAGUUAUAUGUGUAUAAGAAGUCCAGAUAAGAUACUUUCCAUCCAGGGUAUACAAAUUUAAGUCUUUUCUAAGGGCAAAAGAAAUACAAUCCAUCAGCUAUUGAGUCAAAUCCUAAAAUAUUAGCAAUAGACUCUUCUGCUCCUUGUUUGGACCCAAUGGAACAGGAAAGCUACUACUUUUGUCUUUUUGCACAUAGAAUGGAUUUAAUCAUUACAAAGCUUAUUUUCAUUCAUAUAGUUCUCACACACAGCCCCAGAAAGAUGAUGGCCUUUUGCAUUUUUCACUCUGGAGGAUGAAAUCAUGGACACAUCACAGGAGGCUGAACACACUCUGGAAAGGGGCAGGAAGGCUAGAAUUUGAAACAAAGACAUUUUGUUCCACAAACCCUCACUCCCCACCAGAAAGGCUUUGCAAUAGCACUUAGUAAUCUGGUGUGUAUCAGAUGUUAGAUAAAAUUAAUUGGGAACAGACAUUUAUCAUUAUUGAUUUGUAUUUGAUGGGCAUUUGUAACAUGACAUUAUCAACAAACAGUAGAAGAUAAAAAAGGCUGAGGAGUAAUGGGGACUGGCAAGGUUUCAUGAAAGGAUGUAAUCUUUAUCAUGAAGCACUUGCCCACAUUAACAAGUCCAUGAAAUUGAUUUCCAUGGAAAAUGCUUUAGAAGAAAACCCAAGGACAUCUUUCAGAAUUACUGAAACUGCUAUCUCUUGGGGAAUGUCUCUGCCUAUGUACACAUGUAUGUGUUUUUAAUUCAACUAUUUCUCACUUUGGCUAAUAAGGAGGUCUAAAUAAAAAAGUUAAGGCCGAAAGGACUUGUUAUAUGCCAUAAGCUCAUAUUUCAAAUAAAUUAAAUGUGGCUCCAUGCACUGCUCCAUUAAAAGUACUGACUUCAAUGCGAUUAGGUUGAUUAAUGACAUACCAGUUAAUAAAUGAAAAUAAAGUGAAUAUUAUUAUAUGAGAAGAGUUGAUUUGGGCGGUGGGGGGGGGGCAGUUAAAAUAAUACAAUGGACCUGUUUGAUCAGUAUAUAGCCCAAAUAACCCCCUGGAGAAAUGUAGUGCUGACCUUCAGAAGUAUUGUGUGAUUGGGACACUUCAGUGGCUCAGUGAUUGAGUGUCUGCCUUUGGCUCAGGUCGUGAUCCCAGGGUCCUGAGAUCAAGUCCGCAUCAGGCUACUAGCAGGGAGCCUAUUCACCCUCUGCCUAUGUCUCUGCCUCUCUCUCUCUCUCUCUCUCUCUCUCUGUGUGUGUGUGUAUGUGUCUCUCAUAAAUAAAUAAAUAAAAUCUUUUAAAAAACAAAAAAACCCAAAAGAAACAAAACUAUGGUGUUACAGAUAUGGUGGGAAGGAAGGGCACCAGCUCGGGAAUCAGGUAGAUUUGGGUGGAAUUCGGAUACACCCUUUACCAAAUGGGUGACUUUGGGCACCAGGCUCCUCAUCUGUAAGACAGGAGUAAUAACUACUCACCCAGGUGGUGGUCGUGAGGGGGAAUGAAGCCAUGUAUGCAAAACUCUGAGCCCAGAGGCUGGCACACAUUAGGCAUGGAACUCAGAGUUAAUUUCCCUUGCCACCUCAGGAAAAGAUGCUUGUAUCUAGAAGCCUCAUUGUUUCAGAAGAGAGUCUAGGUUUUAAUUUGUUGUAACAGUGAGAGAAAAUAAAGUAAUGGGAUUUUAUCAAUAGUUUCUCCCCAUGGCUCUCAAACCCUUUAUGAGCCACUUAGAGUUCUUGAUUAUAACUGUAGCAGCCAGCAUGCAAAGGUGUAGCUUUUGCAGUUGUAAAAUAUCGAAAUGUUUUCUUACCAUUUGCUAAGUUAUCACAUCACUGAGUCCUGAUGUGACCACCCAACCACCUUGGAACCCCUCAUCCUCUUUGAUCCAGCAACUAAAGGGUUGAUGCUUACUCAUUAGGGUGGGCAGGAUCUUAAGAGUUCUGGCUAGCUGUCCAUUUGAACACACUGGAAUGUAUGACCACACCCUACUGGUUUCUAAAUAUUUUAGAAUCACUGUCUUUUGUAACUGGUUGUUUCUUCACACACCUCUUUGGUCCCUGACUUAUUUGUGGGAGAGCAGAGAACUUGAAGUCACUCUCCCUUGGGGAGGUCCCUUGGGGAGGUCCCUUGGGUGGACCAGAGCUGGCUGUCCUGGCUGUAGUCUCGUCUACUUGGAUAGUUUCCCCUCUUAGCCCCAGCUGCUCUGGGGUCACUUUUUCCUGCAAGGUCUGUAACAUAAACCCAAAGGAUAUAACUGAAGUCCCAGCCUACAGGGUAGUUUUGUUUUGAAGGAUUCUGAACCAUGAAAGGAGGGAUCUCAACAACGUGGUUUCCUGUGGGUGGGCCUGUUCUGAGGCGGCUGUCUACCUCCCUCCCCCAGGGCAUAUACAUUCUUGGAAGGAGCUGAGAGGGCUGCUCCCAGACCCAGCCCAGGCAGACACAAAACUGGGCGGGUUAGGUCCCUGUUUCCCUCCAAUGGAUCCCUCAUCUGUUAGUCACUCCCUCCUAGGGUGUUAUUGUAAAGAAGCCCAUGAAUCUACAUUCCCAACAAACACUGUCUUUAUUCAUUCCACUAACAUUUACAUACUUCAUGCAGCAGCCUCUGUCCUUGCUGGUUUUUAAAUAUUAUUAGAUAUUCUUGUGAUUAAUAAAACACAAACUUAUCCAAAAGAGUACUAAACUCAGACGCUUUUGUUCACAUGUUAUUUUUGAAUCAACGGAUACUAAAAGUACUAAAAGCUACCAUCAUGUGGAAGGCUGUAACAUUUGACAUUAACAAGAGGUCCUCAUCCCAGAAAAGUUGGACAGUAUUGUAGCUCAUUAUGGGCAUGAAAAGGAAGUACAUAAUUUCACGAUUAGCAUAUUAGUUAAAGAGACAAAAGAAUGCCAACUCACCCCUCUUCUGCAUGGGAGGCCACCAUUCCAGUCUGUGGGGGUGAUCCUACUUCUCCAUAACUGCAACGCAAAGAGGAAGUUUAGGGUAAAUCCAGAGAUUCACAGCCCUCGGGAAAGCAUGCCCACAUCUAAAUAGGACUUUCACAAGCAA